RNAcentral lists this long non-coding RNA (1957 nucleotides) under Megachile rotundata (alfalfa leafcutting bee). RNAcentral describes it as "uncharacterized LOC105662681, transcript variant X1". The record is from RNAcentral. Lineage: Eukaryota; Metazoa; Arthropoda; Insecta; Hymenoptera; Megachilidae.
AACCUUGGCACAGAUUCUCCUACAGCCAUUCCAAGCAAUACAACAGCUGAUCGUAGAGCAACACGUUUCCAGCCAAAAGCUAUUGCAAAAAUAUCCUGGAAGAGAGCAGAAUAACCAAGGGCACUUGACAAACAAAGUUGAACAGCAGCAAAUAGAAUGGCAGCACUCAUCAAAAAAUUUCCUGGAACCAUUUGAAGAACAUUGGCUGCUGUAUUACCUCCAUACUUCCAGAUGGCCAAGCUAGUGGUAAUGUCAUGCUUUUACCUAAGAAAGAAAUUACAACUGCUUUAUUGAUGUCUUCCGGACGACGCAUAUCCACUUGUACUGUCAUCAAAGUUGGAUGUACAUCAAAUUGAAAUGCUAGCAUACCAUAUCUGAAAUUACCCAGAAAUAAAUUUAUCCCAAGUGGGAGAAGUAGGUAGAGGCAUGAUAUUUAGUUCACGGUCGUCGGUAAUUAUACACCACCAUAUUAACAUUGCUGUCAGUAAUACCAUUGUGCAAGAAAAUAAAGCCAAUAUUCUGAAUUACUUCAUAUCGCGUGGACUACCUAGCCACAUAAUUGGGCACAAAAGAAGACCCACAAUUAGAAGCCAAUAACAAAAGGAUAGAUCAAAUCGUUGUCCUGAUAUUUUUAAUCCGAAUAACUGCAAAUUUUGAGAAGCUGAAAUUGAUCAACAGUGUUACAUAAACAUAUUUAAUUUAUAGUUCAUAUUUAUUUAUAUAAAUAUAAACAAAUUUUAAUUAUAAUGAGAACGUACCAACUAACAAAUUAGGAAUGCUGCAACCGAAAACUGUGAUAUCUAAAAUUAUAGUGACUAAAGUUUUUGCUCGAGGCCCUAACGUUAAUUCUGUCACGGCAGCCAAAGGAUGCCUACAAAGUGAAUUUAAUUAACAUUUGAUAAGUAAACUACAAAUGAAAGCUUACCGAUUUUUUCGUAAAAUUUGUGGAUCCAAAGAAGUUGCGAUUAUCCAUGAUUUUCCGAGAAGAACGGCCGUAUAAAUUUGCAAAGCUAAUACAAUAAGUACUAGUGGAAUUCCGUAUAAUCCUGCAAUCACAAGGCAGAAUUUUGUUUUUUUUUUCAGGAAUUAUAAUCGUCUAGAAAAUGUCCUCUGUAUAAACAUGAAUGCUUUCAGUACGCAAUAGCGGAAGCAAGGAUAGCUUGCGGUUCAGGUGGAUUAAAUAACAAAAUUUUUAACAAGUUAACCAACUUUAUUUUAUUCAAAAUGAUCAACUUUCCCACACGAUAUCGUGUGCUCAAAUAUUGUUUGCAGCGAUCGCUUUAAGUAAUAAAUGUAAUAAAUCAAUCAUAUAAAUCGUUUCAAUUUAAAUAAAAUAUAUUAUGGAAUAAACGAUAAAGUUACAUUGUACAUACAGUUAACUAUAUACAGUAUGUUUGAUUUGCAUGAAUAUAUGGAAUUAUCCCAUAAGUAAUAGAAUGUAUGAAUCAUUUAAAAAUCUGUUGAAUUUAAAGAAUACAUAUUAAUUUCAUAUAAUAAAUAAUUAUUUAUUCGCGUCAUGAGUUGUUUAAUAAUUCAUAGUUAAAUUUUCUUUUCACUCAUUAUUACAAUUUACAGGAUCAAAUAUGUCAAAGUAACACUUUAUCCAAAAAGGAAAAGUUUGAACUUCAAUUACUUAGAAAAUAGUUCCCUAUGUCCACUGUAAUUAGACACACUGCAUACGUAUAUAUACAUAUUCGUAUCCUAUUUUAUUUACACGUUGAAUGCCAUAGAAGUUAUCAAAGAUAUUAUAAAUUUAUCAUAAUUAAAAAAAAAUUGUAAUAUUGUAUGGACUUCAUAAAGUAUCAAAUAUAAAGUUGGACUUCGAAAUUAAAGUUAUUUUCAUCUGAAUUAUUAUAAUUUAUCCUGGCAUUGAACGUGUCAAAAUAAUCUAACUAAAUAUAAAGUGCUCGUCACAAAAUAAAGAACUUAAUAAAAACUAUACACGUAAUCUUUUCAA